Non-coding RNA from Pelodiscus sinensis (Chinese soft-shelled turtle), 199 nucleotides. NCBI's taxonomy places the organism in Eukaryota, Metazoa, Chordata, Testudines, Trionychidae. The record is from RefSeq and is a predicted model, not a curated record.
GCUGGAUUCCCCAUCCUUGCCCAGCAGAGGAGCUAAUGCCCGUCCCUCCCCACAGGUGCCCCACGACCCCGCACUCAGCUGUCCAGCCAGGUGGUGAGCCGCUCCUCCUCACUGGAGUCCAUCCCCUACCCUCUCUCCAGCACCCCCAGCUGGCCGCAGGCUGCAGGAGCUGCUCGGACCCCCGCUGGCUCCAGCAUCG